GGGAAGUGAGUUCUAGAGAGAGAAAUUAAGUGAUUUUUGUGGAAUGUAGAGGAAAAGGGAAAGUGAUUUUUUAGGGAGAGAAAUGUACGCGUGUACCGUCCUUUACAUACCAACCAUGAAGCUUUCUUUUUCAUGCCGUAUUUCUCACUCUAAAAUCUCGAAACCCAAAACCGAAUAGACAAACAUGAACUGUCUUUGCAUGUUUCUGCCGCAACCCACUUCUUUAUUUCAUCCAUUCAAUGACAAAUUUGGAAGCGCUAUUCUUUUUUUGUCUUUUUGCUCUCUAUUAUUUCACUUAUUUAUUUCCUCCUCUCUCUCUCUCUACUCCCACGUCGCUCACCCUCCUGUAUUUCACUUUU
RNAcentral lists this long non-coding RNA (359 nucleotides) under Amborella trichopoda. Its description in RNAcentral is "long non-coding RNA (ATRI_LNC002983)". The record is from RNAcentral. Lineage: Eukaryota; Viridiplantae; Streptophyta; Magnoliopsida; Amborellales; Amborellaceae.